This 2485-nucleotide long non-coding RNA is filed under the name Homo sapiens (human). Its description in RNAcentral is "uncharacterized LOC105372703, transcript variant 1 (LOC105372703)". The record is from RNAcentral. Lineage: Eukaryota; Metazoa; Chordata; Mammalia; Primates; Hominidae.
GUUUUUGCUGCGUCACAGGGAGACAGAAGAUGGGCUGCUAUUUCGUCGGCUAAAUGCUAUCAUUUUAAGCACCGUUCCAAAGAAAACAGGGAUCUUGCCAGAGGAAAAUAACAUAUACCAUAAAGGAAAAAGAAAUGUGCAUCAAGGCAAAUAAACAGCUCUCUACUAAGGGCCUAGGAUCUUGCUAGACGAGUCAUUUCUCUGGUUGAAAAGCAGUUGAGAAAGGCAAGACAAGGGGGGCGGGGGCCCAGCAGGGCACCUCUGAGCCCUUCCUGCUGCUCUUCAAAGACAGACGCAUUUUCCUUUCUACGGUCUCCUUGCAAGUCUUCUGUAGGCCCUGCCACCUUCAGGCUGACUGACUGCCUCCUUCAAAUAUCAGCAUUUGGAAGGGUACUGGGGAGUCGACACCCUCAUGUCUGUGAGCUGACUGCAGGACGUCUCCUGUCCAGGUGCUGGCACCUCAUCUAACAUUUGAAGGCUCAGAAGAAAAGCCACGUCUGCCUACACAAUCUCACAAUCCGGCUUCAGCAAAGCAUGAGUUAAUUCAACUUCAUACUCGUGAACGUGAAGCGGGGGUUGGAAGGAAUGAAGGCUGCAGGACACCCAUGUACCAAGAAAAAGAAAGACAAAUUGGUUGUUUUAUCUACUUUACAUCAUGAUGGAGUCCUAAAAAGGGCCCCAUGAAGGCAGGCAGCCCAGGGAGGAAUGACUGGACGGUGACAUUGUGCAGGGGGUCUGGAAGUUGCCAGCGCAGGGGUUAGCAGCUGCAGCCUGGCCUGGUCCUGUCUGCCUGGCUGUCAAACCCAGAAGACCGUGGUUUCUGGUGGCCUCUGUGUGACAGCGGAGGAGGUGGGGCGAGGCCUGGAAGUGAAGCAUCUCGUGAGCCACUUAAGUGUUUAUGAAGCUCGCUAAUGUGCUUAAAUGAACGAGAAGCAGGUACUUGCUCCCAGGACCAGAGCCACCAAAGCAAUUUCCUCUGCAGCCCCUCAUACUUCGCACACUGGAAGCUUGCAUUCUUUCCCAGAGGACAGCCGGAUUACAGCACCGCCUCUAAUGCAACCCGAUCUGGUUUCUUUGAGCGCCGCGGUGAACGUGCAAUCUAUCUCAUAAAUGCAUCGCAGUGUUCCACAAAUCACCCACGUUCAUCCCUUGAGACGUCUUUAACUCGGGGCUUAGAGUUGCAAAUGAAUUCUCCUAUGGAUCUAUUAUUCCAUCAAAUAGCGGAGAGAGGGGACUAGCUUGUGCAGAGCCUUCAUAGAGCUGGGCUAAAUUCGAUUAUGCAAAGUCUAACGAGCACCAUUCAGCAAAACCAUGGUGGGUGUGAGCUGCAGGCCAGCCCCUCCACUGGGCCAUUAUCCAGGGGUAAACACCACUCGUGGGUUAGUUCCACGAGUUACUGGCUGAUUUGACCUGUGAUACUCCAAGGUGGAAGUAACCAAAUAAUAUGUAUCAUGAGCCCCAAGAACGAAGCCAGUGGAGAGUGGUACAUGCUAGAGGGUAACGCCUGGCCCUUUGCAGGACAGCACGUCAGCCAUGCGCCAUGGGACGAUGGUGGUGGCUGGGACACAGGAGGCCACGGCAGGAAAUGGGCAGGUGGGUGGGUCUAUGUAAGCUGGCUUUAGACUUCAAUCCACAAGCAUUUGCAGCUCAACUACUCAGCGUCUUAUCUUAUUUAAUCCUUUCAGCAAUAAACACUCUUUUCACAUGUAGUAAGGUUAAGGAGUCUACAUCACACCCUUUAUCAUUAUUAAUAAAGGGACACACCCUCCAGGGAUCCUAGGGAACCUCCUACCCACCCUGUGGUCACUCUAGGGAAAGGAAAGCUCUCAGGGACCGACGGGAGCCUGGGCACAUGCGCCACCACUCUCUCCUUUAUCCCCUCUAGCCCGGCUUGCUGGCUCUCACUUUCUUUUGUGCACUAGAACUCACGUACAAGUUGCACACCCAAACCCUUGCAUGCUGCAUUUCAGAGUCAACUUCAGUGAUUUUUGAGAGUGAUUUUGACAAUCCCAGUCAAAAUUCUAGCAGGUUUUUUUUUUUUACAUGACAAGUGGAUUCUAAAAUUCAUAGGAAAAUGCAAAUGACCUAGAAGAGCCAAAGCAAUUUUGGAAGGAGUAAAGUCGAAUGGCUGACGCUACCAGAUUUCAAGAUUCACUUGAAACGCACAGGAAUCAAGACAGGGUGGUGUCGACAGAAGGAAGGCGUCAGAGCAGGGUGACAGGAGGCAGGGCCACACACAGACGGCUGAUUGAUACCCGACAAAACCGCCGAGGUAAUUUCACAGGGAAAGGAACUCUUUUGAACAAAUGGUGCACCAACAAUUGGAUAACCAUACGGAAAAAAUUUAAAAAACAGAAGAACAUUGACCCUUCACGCACAUCAAACAUAAAUUAACUCAGAAUCCAUCAUAGGCUGGGUGUUGUGGCUCAUGCCUUUAAUCCUAGCACUUUGGGAGGCCAAGGCAGGCGGAUCACCUGAGGUCAGG